GGGACGAACGCUGGCGGCGUGCCUAAUGCAUGCAAGUCGAGCGACGAAUAGGUGCGGGUAACCAAGCCUAUUACGGAGCGGCGAACGGGUGAGUAACACGUGAGCAACCUGCCCCGAAGACCGGGAUAGCCCAGGGAAACUUGGAUUAAUACCGGAUAUCCUCCUUUGAUCGCAUGGUCGUUGGAAGAAAUGCUUUUACGCUUCGGGAUGGGCUCGCGGCCUAUCAGCUUGUUGGUGGGUAACGGCCUACCAAGGCGUCGACGGGUAGCUGGUCUGAGAGGACGAUCAGCCACACUGGGACUGAGACACGGCCCAGACUCCUACGGGACGGCACGGCAGCGAAGGGAAUUUUGCGCAAGUGGGACGAAAGCCUGACGCAGCAACGCCGCGGUGGGGAUGGAAGGUCCGUUACGGGUUACGUUAAACCCCGUUUAGGGACGGAACCGAAAGUUCGGACGGUACC
Molecule: ribosomal RNA, 463 nt
Filed under: uncultured soil bacterium
Lineage: Bacteria
Description: bacterial SSU rRNA
Rfam family: Bacterial small subunit ribosomal RNA
Source: RNAcentral